Molecule: ribosomal RNA, 407 nt
Filed under: uncultured bacterium
Lineage: Bacteria
Description: partial 16S ribosomal RNA
Rfam family: Bacterial small subunit ribosomal RNA
Source: RNAcentral
AUUGAACGCUAGCGGGAUGCCUUACACAUGCAAGUCGAACGGCGUGGCGAACGGGUGAGUAAUGUAUCGGACCGUGCCCAGUAGCGGGGGAUAACUACGCGAAAGCGUAGCUAAUACCGCAUACUAUUGGAGCGGCCGAUAUCGGAUUGGCUAGUUGGGGGGAGAACGGCUCACCAAGGCGACGACCCGUAGCUGGUUUGAGAGGCCGACCAGCCAAACGGGGAAUGAGACAAGGCCCAGAAGCCUACGGGAGGCAGCAGGGGGGAAUUUUGGACAAUGGGGGAAAACCUGAUCCAGCCAUCCCGCGUGGGAGAUGAAGGCCUUCGGGUUGUAAAGCACUUUAGGCAGGAAAGCGGUAACUGCAAAAUAAGCACCGGCUAACUACGGGCCAGCCGCCGCGGUAAUAC